Molecule: ribosomal RNA, 415 nt
Filed under: uncultured prokaryote
Description: bacterial SSU rRNA
Rfam family: Bacterial small subunit ribosomal RNA
Source: RNAcentral
GUGUCAGCCGCCGCGGUAAAACGUAGGUGGCGAGCGUUAUCCGGAUUUACUGGGCGUAAAGAGGGCGCAGGCGGCUUGGUAAGUCAAAUGUGAAAUCUCCCGGCUUAACUGGGAGGGGCCAUUCGAUACUGCUGAGCUAGAGGGCAACAGGGGGAGGUGGAAUUCCCGGUGUAGUGGUGAAAUGCGUAGAUAUCGGGAGGAACACCAGUGGCGAAGGCGGCCUCCUGGGUUGUUACUGACGCUUAAGCCCAAAAGCGUGGGGAGCAAACAGGAUCAGAUACCCUGGUAGUCCACGCCUUAAACUAUGGACACUGGGUAUGGGGAGUAUCGACCCUCUCCGUGCCGAAGCUAACGCGUUAAGUGUCCCGUCUGGGUAGUACGGCCGCAAGGCUAAAACUUAAAGGAAUUGGCGGGG